CAAGAGCGUAUGUAAAAGUUGUUGCAGUUAAAAAGCUCGUAGUUGAACCUUGGGUUUGGUUGGCCGGUCCGCUUUUUUGCGAGUACUGGAUUCAACCGAGCCUUUCCUUCUGGCUAACCAGUCGUUUCGGCGGCUGGCGAACCAGGAUUUUUACUUUGAGAAAAUUAGAGUGUUCAAAGCAGGCAUUAGCUUGAAUAUAUUAGCAUGGAAUAAUAGAAUAGGACGUUAUGGUUCUAUUUUGUUGGUUUCUAGGACCAUCGUAAUGAUUAAUAGGGACGGUCGGGGGCAUCAGUAUUCAGUUGUCAGAGGUGAAAUUCUUGGAUUUACUGAAGACUAACUACUGCGAAAGCAUUUGUCAAGGACGUUUUCAUUAA
RNAcentral lists this ribosomal RNA (374 nucleotides) under uncultured eukaryote. RNAcentral describes it as "partial 18S ribosomal RNA". It matches the Rfam family "Eukaryotic small subunit ribosomal RNA", at positions 592 to 976 of the family's 1831-position model. The record is from RNAcentral.